This 584-nucleotide ribosomal RNA is filed under the name uncultured Lachnospiraceae bacterium. RNAcentral describes it as "bacterial SSU rRNA". It matches the Rfam family "Bacterial small subunit ribosomal RNA", at positions 95 to 695 of the family's 1533-position model. The record is from RNAcentral. Lineage: Bacteria; Bacillati; Bacillota; Clostridia; Lachnospirales; Lachnospiraceae.
GUGGCGAACGGGUGAGUAACGCGUGAGUAACCUGCCCUCGAGUGGGGGACAACAGUUGGAAACGACUGCUAAUACCGCAUAAGACCACAGAGCCGCAUGGCCCAGGGGUAAAAGGAUUUAUUCGCUUGAGGAUGGACUCGCGUCCAAUUAGCUAGUUGGUGAGGUAACGGCCCACCAAGGCGACGAUUGGUAGCCGGACUGAGAGGUUGAUCGGCCACAUUGGGACUGAGACACGGCCCAGACUCCUACGGGAGGCAGCAGUGGGGGAUAUUGCACAAUGGGGGAAACCCUGAUGCAGCGACGCCGCGUGAAGGAAGAAGGCCUUCGGGUUGUAAACUUCUGUCGUACGGGACGAUAAUGACGGUACCGUACAAGAAAGCCACGGCUAACUACGUGCCAGCAGCCGCGGUAAAACGUAGGUGGCAAGCGUUGUCCGGAAUUACUGGGUGUAAAGGGAGCGCAGGCGGACUAGCAAGUUGGAAGUGAAAUCUAUGGGCUCAACCCAUAAAUUGCUUUCAAAACUGCCGGUCUUGAGUAGUGCAGAGGUAGGCGGAAUUCCCGGUGUAGCGGUGGAAUGCGUAGAU